GGGGGUUAGCGUUGUUCGGAAUUACUGGGCGUAAAGCGCGCGUAGGCGGGCUAGUAAGUUAGAGGUGAAAUCCCGGGGCUCAACCCCGGAACUGCCUUUAAUACUGCUAGUCUUGAGUUCGAGAGAGGUGAGUGGAAUUCCGAGUGUAGAGGUGAAAUUCGUAGAUAUUCGGAGGAACACCAGUGGCGAAGGCGGCUCACUGGCUCGAUACUGACGCUGAGGUACGAAAGUGUGGGGAGCAAACAGGAUUAGAUACCCUGGUAGUCCACACCGUAAACGAUGAAUGCCAGUCGUCGGCAAGCAUGCUUGUUGGUGACGCAGCUAACGCAUUAAGCUCUCCGCCUGGGGAGUACGGUCGCAAGAUUAAAACUCAAAGGAAUUGACGGGGGCCCGCACAAGCGGUGGAGCAUGUGGUUUAAUUCAACGCAACGCGCAGAACCUUACCAGGGCUUGACAUCCUGCGAACCUCUGGGAAACCGGAGGGUGCCUUCGGGAACGCAGUGACAGGUGGUGCAUGGCU
This 520-nucleotide ribosomal RNA is filed under the name uncultured Paracoccaceae bacterium. RNAcentral's name for it is "bacterial SSU rRNA". It matches the Rfam family "Bacterial small subunit ribosomal RNA", at positions 530 to 1050 of the family's 1533-position model. Lineage: Bacteria; Pseudomonadati; Pseudomonadota; Alphaproteobacteria; Rhodobacterales; Paracoccaceae. The record is from RNAcentral.